This 329-nucleotide ribosomal RNA is filed under the name uncultured eukaryote. RNAcentral's name for it is "partial 18S ribosomal RNA". It matches the Rfam family "Eukaryotic small subunit ribosomal RNA", at positions 1470 to 1796 of the family's 1831-position model. The record is from RNAcentral.
CCCUUAGAUGUCCUGGGCCGCACGCGCGCUACACUGAGUGUCUGAGAUACGAGUCUGCCUGGUCCGGCAAGGUCUAGGUAAUCGCUAAAAGACACAUCAUGCUUAGGAUAGAUUAUUGCAAAUAUUAAUCUUGAACGAGGAAUUCCUAGUAAGCGCAAGUCAACAGCUUGCGUUGAUUACGUCCCUGCCCUUUGUACACACCGCCCGUCGCUACUACUGAUUGGAUGUUUAAGCGAGGUUCUCGAACUGCUAGCGACUUAGCUUCGGUGAGGUCGCAGUGUGGGAAGUGAACCUAGCUUUGGUGUCUAGAGGAAGUAAAAGUCGUAACA